AACUUUUGACAACGGAUCACUUGGUUCUGGCAUCGAUGAAGAAUGCAGCGAAAUGUGAUAAGUAAUGUGAAUUGCAGAAUUCAGUGAAUCAUCGAAUCUUUGAACGCACAUUGCGCCCUCUGGUAUUCCGGAGGGCAUGCCUGUUCGAGCAUCAUUACAACCCUCAAGCUCUGCUUGGUAUUGGGCUCUGCCAGUCCUGGCAGGCCUCAAAGUCAGUGGCGGUGCCAUCCGGCUCCAAGCGUAGUAACUCUUCUCGCUUCGGAGGCCGCGGUGCGUGCUAGCCAGCAACCCCCAAUUUUUCCAGGUUGACCUCGGAUCAGGUAGGGAUACCCGCUGAACUUAAGCAUAUCAAUAAGCGGAGGCU
Molecule: unclassified non-coding RNA, 364 nt
Filed under: uncultured Ascomycota
Lineage: Eukaryota; Fungi; Ascomycota
Description: sequence contains ITS2
Rfam family: 5.8S ribosomal RNA (bases 1-154)
Source: RNAcentral